Non-coding RNA from Gadus morhua (Atlantic cod), 830 nucleotides. NCBI's taxonomy places the organism in Eukaryota, Metazoa, Chordata, Actinopteri, Gadiformes, Gadidae. The record is from the annotation of a RefSeq genome assembly.
CUUGCUCACCCUUAUAAGUUCUGAAGUGUAAAACAGGACAUCUUCCUCAAGUUCAGCUUAAACACAAACCAUGUUCUCUAUAGCUGUACUGCUGCUGCUCCUGGCUGCUGGCUCUGGUGUGAAAUGUGAACAGCUUUCUCAGCCCGAGUCUCUGACUGUCCGACCUGGUCAACCUCUGACCAUCCGCUGUCAGGUCUCUUAUUCUGUUAGUAGCCACUACACAGCUUGGAUCAGACAACCUGAAGGACACACACUGGAAUGGAUUGGACAGAUUUAUACUGGGAACAAAUUAAUGAAAGACUCCCUUAGUAGUAAAUUCAGUCUCACCCUUGACGUGGCCAGUAAAACAAUUACUUUGCAAGGGCAGAACAUGCAGCCAGGAGACUCAGCUGUGUAUUACUGUGCCAGAGAGACACAGCAUUACAAACUGUUGUAAAGGAUGAACAAAAACCCUUCACCCGUGAGGUGUUAUUACUUGAAUCCUCCAUAGGGGGAGCUCUAAACCAAACACAUCAUUCAAAAUAGAUUAUUUAACGAUUGCCAAAUUAUUCUACACAGCUGGACUUGGAAAUAAAGCAUCAGCCAGACAUAUAUAAUUUUAUCACAAGACAGAACACAUAUAACACCUUAUUAUUAGACACAUAACAUAUCUUAAAAGACUUCAAAUUUAGACCUUAAAAUGAAAUGUUAAGGUCUAAAAGGACAGAAGGCCUGACGUUAUUAAUAAAAAAAAGAGUUAGGCCUAAAAACAUCAUGAUCCAUACAAGACUUACAUCAUACACACAAUAACACGAAAUGUUGACCUCAAAACAGCCUUUAUUCUCAAAUUA